GGCCCCUUCUCCGGCGAGCCCCCGAGCUACCUGACCGGCGAGUUCCCCGGCGACUACGGCUGGGACACCGCGGGGCUGUCCGCUGACCCCGAGACCUUCGCCAAGAACCGUGAGCUGGAGGUCAUCCACUCCCGCUGGGCCAUGCUCGGCGCGCUUGGCUGCGUCUUCCCCGAGCUGCUCGCCCGCAACGGCGUCAAGUUCGGCGAGGCCGUCUGGUUCAAGGCCGGCUCCCAGAUCUUCAGCGAGGGCGGGCUCGACUACCUCGGCAACCCCAGCCUGAUCCACGCCCAGAGCAUCCUCGCCAUCUGGGCCUGCCAGGUCGUGCUCAUGGGCGCCGUCGAGGGCUACCGCAUUGCCGGCGGCCCGCUCGGCGAGGUCGUCGACCCGCUCUACCCCGGCGGCAGCUUCGACCCCCUCGGCCUGGCCGACGACCCCGAGGCCUUCGCCGAGCUCAAGGUGAAGGAGCUCAAGAACGGCCGCCUCGCCAUGUUCUCCAUGUUCGGAUUCUUCGUCCAGGCCAUCGUCACCGGCAAGGGCCCACUCGAGAACCUCGCCGACCACCUCGCCGACCCGGUCAACAACAACGCCUGGGCCUACGCCACCAACUUCGUCCCCGGCAACUAAGCUCCAUCCGCUCUGCAACUUCAUUGUCUUCCGGAGGGGGCGUAC
RNAcentral lists this long non-coding RNA (669 nucleotides) under Panicum hallii. Its description in RNAcentral is "long non-coding RNA (PHAL_LNC000203)". The record is from RNAcentral. Lineage: Eukaryota; Viridiplantae; Streptophyta; Magnoliopsida; Poales; Poaceae.